Molecule: non-coding RNA, 101 nt
Organism: Acanthosepion pharaonis
Lineage: Eukaryota; Metazoa; Mollusca; Cephalopoda; Sepiida; Sepiidae
Source: the annotation of a GenBank genome assembly
GCAUUGAAACACAGAUUCCCAUACAAUCACUGAAGUUAAGCAACAUUGAGCCUGGUAAGUACCUAGAUAGGUGACCACUUGGGAAUACCAGGUGUUGUAAG